GUGCCAGCCGCCGCGGUAAAACGUAGGUGGCGAGCGUUAUCCGGAUUCAUUGGGCGUAAAGAGCUUGUAGGUGGCCUUGUAAGUUGGACGUGAAAUCCCCGGGCUUAACUCGGGGAGGUCGUUCAAUACUGCGGGGCUAGAGGGCGUCAGAGGGGAGUGGAAUCCCUGGUGUAGCAGUGAAAUGCGUAGAUAUCAGGGGGAACACCCGUGGCGAAGGCGGCUCCCUGGGACGCCCCUGACACUGAGAAGCGAAAGCUAGGGGAGCAAACGGGAUUAGAAACCCUGGUAGUCC
This 292-nucleotide ribosomal RNA is filed under the name uncultured bacterium. RNAcentral's name for it is "partial 16S ribosomal RNA". It matches the Rfam family "Bacterial small subunit ribosomal RNA", at positions 505 to 796 of the family's 1533-position model. The record is from RNAcentral.